UACGGGGGGGGGCAAGCGUUGUUCGGAAUUACUGGGCGUAAAGGGCUCGUAGGCGGCCAACUAAGUCGGAUGUGAAAUCCCCAGGCUUAACCUGGGAACUGCAUCCGAUACUGGAUGGCUUGAAUCCGGGAGAGGGAUGCAGAAUUCCAGGUGUAGCGGUGAAAUGCGUUGAGAUCGGAAGGAACGCCCGUGGCGAAAGCGAGGUCCUGGACGUCUACUGACGCUGAGACGCGAAAAGCUAGGGGGAGCAAACAGGG
Molecule: ribosomal RNA, 257 nt
Filed under: uncultured bacterium
Lineage: Bacteria
Description: partial 16S ribosomal RNA
Rfam family: Bacterial small subunit ribosomal RNA
Source: RNAcentral